This 344-nucleotide ribosomal RNA is filed under the name uncultured bacterium. RNAcentral's name for it is "bacterial SSU rRNA". It matches the Rfam family "Bacterial small subunit ribosomal RNA", at positions 8 to 334 of the family's 1533-position model. The record is from RNAcentral.
AGAGUUUGAUUAUGGCUCAGGAUGAACGCUGGCGGCGUGCUUAACACAUGCAAGUCGAGCGAAGCGAUUUAAGUGAAGUUUUCGGAUGGAUCUUAGAUUGACUGAGCGGCGGACGGGUGAGUAACGCGUGGAUAACCUGCCUCACACAGGGGGAUAACAGUUAGAAAUGACUGCUAAUACCGCAUAAGCGCACGGUACCGCAUGGUACAGUGUGAAAAACUCCGGUGGUGUGAGAUGGAUCCGCGUCUGAUUAGGUAGUUGGUGAGGUAACGGCCCACCAAGCCGACGAUCAGUAGCCGACCUGAGAGGGUGACCGGCCACAUUGGGACUGAGACACGGCCCAA